Molecule: unclassified non-coding RNA, 255 nt
Filed under: Hevea brasiliensis (rubber tree)
Lineage: Eukaryota; Viridiplantae; Streptophyta; Magnoliopsida; Malpighiales; Euphorbiaceae
Source: RNAcentral
AUUUACUACCAUCAGCAGCACUAAUCUCAGCAUUCAUGCCAUGUAUCAUCCCAUUUAGUAAAGGUAGCUUUUUUAUCUCCAUUUUAUCUUUUUCUAACCCACCAUUCAAACUUUUCUUAUUGGUAGCCCUCUCUUUCUUAACUCUUCCUUUGACCAAUGGCCGCAGGGGGAAAACCCUGACUCCAUUAUCUUCCCCCAAAAUCAGAACCCCAAAAGAUACACUAAUGGAAAACACGGGCAGAGAACAAUCAAUCA